RNAcentral lists this ribosomal RNA (368 nucleotides) under uncultured bacterium. RNAcentral describes it as "bacterial SSU rRNA". It matches the Rfam family "Bacterial small subunit ribosomal RNA", at positions 981 to 1346 of the family's 1533-position model. The record is from RNAcentral.
UUGAAAUACAAGUUGAACCUACCAGAAAAGGGGGGGUCCCUAAGGGAGGGCUUGUACAGGUGCUGCAUGGCGGUCGUCAGCUCGUGUCUUGAGAUGUUGGGUUAAGUCCCGCAACGAGCGCAACCCCUUUUCCUUGUUGCCACCUCGUUAUGUUGGGCACUCUAGUGGGACUGCCGGGGCCAACCGGGAGGAAGGUGGGGAUGACGUCAAGUCAUCAUGCCCCUUACGCCUAGGGCUACACACGUCCUACAAUGGCAGGUACAAAGGGCAGCGAACCCGCAAGGGGAAGCAAAUCCCAAAAACCCGGUCUCAGUCCGGAUUGCAGUCUGCAACUCGCCUCCGCGAAGUCGGAAUCGGUAGUAAUCGCG